Molecule: transfer RNA, 73 nt
Filed under: Darwinula stevensoni
Lineage: Eukaryota; Metazoa; Arthropoda; Ostracoda; Podocopida; Darwinulidae
Also listed under: 2 other names
Rfam family: tRNA
About the family: Transfer RNA (tRNA) molecules are approximately 80 nucleotides in length. Their secondary structure includes four short double-helical elements and three loops (D, anti-codon, and T loops).
Source: Rfam by way of RNAcentral
GCCCCCGUGGCCUAAUGGAUAAGGCAUCGGUCUCCUAAACCGGGGAUUGCGGGUUCGAGUCCCGCCGGGGGUA